This 691-nucleotide ribosomal RNA is filed under the name uncultured bacterium. Its description in RNAcentral is "bacterial SSU rRNA". It matches the Rfam family "Bacterial small subunit ribosomal RNA", at positions 32 to 715 of the family's 1533-position model. The record is from RNAcentral.
AACGCUAGCUACAGGCUUAACACAUGCAAGUCGAGGGGCAGCAUAGAAGUAGCAAUACUUUGGUGGCGACCGGCGCACGGGUGAGUAACGCGUAUGCAACCUACCUAUCAGAGGGGAAUAACCCGGCGAAAGUCGGACUAAUACCGCAUAAAACAGGGGCACCGCAUGGUGAUAUUUGUUAAAGAAAUUCGCUGAUAGAUGGGCAUGCGUUCCAUUAGGUAGUUGGUGAGGUAACGGCUCACCAAGCCGACGAUGGAUGGGGGAACUGAGAGGUUGGUCCCCCACACUGGUACUGAGACACGGACCAGACUCCUACGGGAGGCAGCAGUGAGGAAUAUUGGUCAAUGGGCGGGAGCCUGAACCAGCCAAGUCGCGUGAAGGAAGAAGGAUCUAUGGUUCGUAAACUUCUUUUGCAGGGGAAUAAAGUGCAGGACGUGUCCUGUUUUGUAUGUACCCUGAGAAUAAGGAUCGGCUAACUCCGUGCCAGCAGCCGCGGUAAUACGGAGGAUCCGAGCGUUAUCCGGAUUUAUUGGGUUUAAAGGGUGCGUAGGUGGUUUGAUAAGUCAGCGGUGAAAGUUUGCAGCUUAACUGUAAAAAUGCCGUUGAAACUGUCGGACUUGAGUGUAAAUGAGGUAGGCGGAAUGCGUGGUGUAGCGGUGAAAUGCAUAGAUAUCACGAAGAACUCCGAUUG